AGCGAACGUUAGCGGCGGGCCUAACACAUGCAAGUCGAACGAGAAAACCUUCGGGUGAGUACAGUGGCGCACGGGUGAGGAACGCGUAGGUAAUCUACCCUCCCGGCGGGGGACGAACACUCCGAAAGGAAUGCUAAUACCGCAUAAGACCACGCUUACUAAGGUGAGAGUGGUAAAAGGUGCCUCAAAGCACCACCAGAGGAUGAGCCUGCGUCCCAUCAGCUUGUUGGUAAGGUAAUGGCUUACCAAGGCUAAGACGGGUAGCUGGUCUGAGAGGAUGAUCAGCCACACUGGUACUGGAACACGGACCAG
Molecule: ribosomal RNA, 312 nt
Filed under: uncultured bacterium
Lineage: Bacteria
Description: bacterial SSU rRNA
Rfam family: Bacterial small subunit ribosomal RNA
Source: RNAcentral